AUUGAACGCUGGCGGCAUGCCUUACACAUGCAAGUCGAACGGCAGCACGGGUGCUUGCACCUGGUGGCGAGUGGCGAACGGGUGGGUAAUACAUCGGAACGUACCUUAUCGUGGGGGAUAACGCAGCGAAAGCUGUGCUAAUACCGCAUACGCCCUGAGGGGGAAAGCGGGGGAUCGAAAGACCUCGCGCGAUUAGAGCGGCCGAUGCCUGAUUAGCUUGUUGGUGGGGUAAAAGCCCACCAAGGCGACGAUCAGUAGCUGGUCUGAGAGGACGAUCAGCCACACUGGGACUGAGACACGGCCCAGACUCCUACGGGAGGCAGCAGUGGGGAAUUUUGGACAAUGGGGGCAACCCUGAUCCAGCAAUGCCGCGUGAGUGAAGAAGGCCUUCGGGUUGUAAAGCUCUUUUGUCAGGGAAGAAACACCGGCUCUAACACAGUCUGGGAAUGACGGUACCUGAAGAAUAAGCACCGGCUAACUACGUGCCAGCAGCCGCCGUAA
This 501-nucleotide ribosomal RNA is filed under the name uncultured bacterium. RNAcentral describes it as "partial 16S ribosomal RNA". It matches the Rfam family "Bacterial small subunit ribosomal RNA", at positions 30 to 523 of the family's 1533-position model. The record is from RNAcentral.